CCUGUUGUACUGCAGAGAUGACUAGAGGAAGACAGAAAACUGAAGGGACUAAUGAGGAUGGUGACCCUCACUCUCCUGCAUCGCCCCAACCAAGGGUCGUUGGACUCUCUGUCUACCCUCAGGAAACCUCAUCAGAGGCAGGUGGAGACUCAGCAAGAAGGUGACUGCAAACCAGAAAGAAGCUGUCCCCAGAACCCAACCAUGCUGGCACCUUGAUCUCGGACUUCCCGCCUCCAGAACUUUUCAGAACCUCCAGAAGGACCUUGGAGUAUGAAGAUUUCUCUACAGAACCAAGUUCUUGGUGAGAGGUUGGCCGUGCAACGGACCCAAGCCCCUGGGAUUCAGCCCUCAGGCCCCAGGACAAUGGGGGACAGUGAAGAUUGUCCCUUUUUACCUCAUGGUGAUAGUGACUGGUGAGCAGAGCUAUAGAUUUUGUUUGUUUGCGUAAAACAUAAAAAGCAUCACAGAGAAAUGUAAACAUCGGUAAAUUGAGGUUCUGAGCAACAACGACAAGCGCUUUUUAAAACAGGGAAGCGCAGCUUUUCUCCUUGCCACGCGCUCCUCCUGCUCCCGCUCUGUGCCCUGCUCCAGAACCGCCAUUUUCUGAGCUCUCAGCAGUAAACUUAAUAAAGAUUGAUAUCAGCGACAAAUUCUGUCAACUUCUACGCUGCAAAACUUAGUCACCGUGCAAAAUGGACCAAGGAAAAUAAAUAACCCGAGGAAUGAUGGAGUGUGUAAAUAUUGAUGGGAACGCCAGGCACCGGGAAGUUGGAUGAAGCGAAAAAGAACUUAGUUUCCGUGACCUGAGUGAAGGCAGGUCUUUUCACAUUGAUUUUAAUUCUCUGGCAUUAUUUUCUUGGUGGGAAUGUGUGUUGUAGGCUGAAUUGUAAAUUCUUGCAUUCCAAAAUAAUCAUUCCAGAAAAAGCAUUUCUUUAAUUAGAUUUUAAAAAUGCUAUUACAAAAAUAGUACUGUACACAGAAAAAUAUUAAAAUACAUAUAGGAAAAAUAGAGUAAGAAAGAACACUCAUAAUUCCAUCACCCAAAAUAUUGGCUGUAAGCAUCUUCCAGACUUUUUUCCAUGCUAUUGUAUACAUUUCCUAAUUUCUAAGAGGCAAGUUUUUCAAAGUUUGGUAUCUCUGAAAUCAGAUUGAGUCUCUGGGUACAUAUCCCAUGGCAGCAUUUUCUUUUGUCGAAAAAGGCUCUUAGUAAGUUAAUGUUGUUUCCUACAAAUGAUGACAUUUUGAAACCAAAGAUAUAUGUGGGUGUCAUAAUGUGUAGAAAAUAUUAUAUUUUAUAUACUAUCUUUUCUUUUUUUACCUUGUUUUCUUUUUUUUAAAAUUGAGGCAUA
Equus caballus (horse) is the source of this 1349-nucleotide non-coding RNA. The record is from RefSeq and is a predicted model, not a curated record. Lineage: Eukaryota; Metazoa; Chordata; Mammalia; Perissodactyla; Equidae.